UGGGGAAUUUUGGACAAUGGGCGCAAGCCUGAUCCAGCCAUGCCGCGUGCGGGAAGAAGGCCUUCGGGUUGUAAACCGCUUUUGUCAGGGAAGAAAUCUUCUGAGUUAAUACCUCGGGGAGGAUGACGGUACCUGAAGAAUAAGCACCGGCUAACUACGUGCCAGCAGCCGCGGUAAUACGUAGGGUGCAAGCGUUAAUCGGAAUUACUGGGCGUAAAGCGUGCGCAGGCGGUUUUGUAAGACAGAGGUGAAAUCCCCGGGCUCAACCUGGGAACUGCCUUUGUGACUGCAAGGCUUGAGUGCGGCAGAGGGGGAUGGAAUUCCGCGUGUAGCAGUGAAAUGCGUAGAUAUGCGGAGGAACACCGAUGGCGAAGGCAAUCCCCUGGGCCUGCACUGACGCUCAUGCACGAAAGCGUGGGGAGCAAACAGGAUUAGAUACCCUGGUAGUCCACGCCCUAAACGAUGUCAACUGG
This 473-nucleotide ribosomal RNA is filed under the name uncultured bacterium. Its description in RNAcentral is "partial 16S ribosomal RNA". It matches the Rfam family "Bacterial small subunit ribosomal RNA", at positions 355 to 819 of the family's 1533-position model. The record is from RNAcentral.